This 492-nucleotide ribosomal RNA is filed under the name uncultured bacterium. RNAcentral describes it as "partial 16S ribosomal RNA". It matches the Rfam family "Bacterial small subunit ribosomal RNA", at positions 29 to 507 of the family's 1533-position model. The record is from RNAcentral.
AGUGAACGCUGGCGGUAGGCCUAACACAUGCAAGUCGAACGGCAGCACAGUAAGAGCUUGCUCUUACGGGUGGCGAGUGGCGGACGGGUGAGGAAUACAUCGGAAUCUACUUUUUCGUGGGGGAUAACGUAGGGAAACUUACGCUAAUACCGCAUACGACCUACGGGUGAAAGCAGGGGAUCUUCGGACCUUGCGCGAUUGAAUGAGCCGAUGUCGGAUUAGCUAGUUGGCGGGGUAAAGGCCCACCAAGGCGACGAUCCGUAGCUGGUCUGAGAGGAUGAUCGGCCACCCUGGAACUGAGACACGGUCCAGACUCCUACGGGAGGCAGCAGUGGGGAAUAUUGGACAAUGGGCGCAAGCCUGAUCCAGCCAUACCGCGUGGGUGAAGAAGGCCUUCGGGUUGUAAAGCCCUUUUGUUGGGAAAGAAAAGCAGCAGGUUAAUACCCCGCUGUUCUGACGGUACCCAAAGAGUAAGCACCGGCUAACUUCGUG